Molecule: non-coding RNA, 361 nt
Organism: Clarias gariepinus (North African catfish)
Lineage: Eukaryota; Metazoa; Chordata; Actinopteri; Siluriformes; Clariidae
Source: the annotation of a RefSeq genome assembly
ACUUGGACAAGGAUGGUUUUAGGAAGUUAUAUUUUAUUUGUACUCAUUUCAUAUUCUUAUGGACAGUCCCUGACCUCCUCUCCUGCUGUGGUGAAGAAACCUGGAGAGUCAGUCACUCUGUCCUGUACUGUCUCGGGAUUCUCAAUGAGCAGCUACUACAUGUACUGGAUCCGUCAGAAACCAGGACAAGGACUGGAGUGGAUCGGCUACAUUAGCACAGGCACUAGCAUUGGAUUUGCUCAGUCUCUGCAGUGCCCAGUUCUCCAUCACUAAAGACAACAAUAAAAACAUGCUGAACCUAGAAGUGAGUCUGAAAGCUGAAGACACGGCUGUUUAUUACUGUGCCAAAGACACACACUGA